Cyprinus carpio (common carp) is the source of this 2080-nucleotide long non-coding RNA. The record is from Ensembl. Lineage: Eukaryota; Metazoa; Chordata; Actinopteri; Cypriniformes; Cyprinidae.
AUGACCAAAACAGGUAAAUCCUCUGCUUAUUGGAACGACAUCUGCCACAGGUAUGCCCAGGGCACCUUCCAGUUCAGUACAGGAAAAAGGCCUGGAAGCAGAAAAUGGAAGGAGGUCCUGGAGCGGAUUGAUGCCUGUCCCCUGCAAAGGGGGAAUAAGGUGGACCUGUUUGGCAGGCACAUAGUGUGCACUUGUGGGUUCCAUAAGUCAACAGAUAAGGUCUUGAUUGAGUCAGGGCCUAAGGUAAAGGCAGGCGGCAGCUCAGAGGAGACAGGGACAUCACAGGAAGUACAUGGGGUGAAGUGUUCUCUGUGUAGUGUGGUUGUGGAGGCAGAGAAGUUCUCCGAGCACCUCUCUGACCACCACGUUGAAGAGAGGUGUGACAGCUGUGGGGUCAGGGUCCAGGGAACCGUCGGACUCCUCCAACACAUUGAGUCGAGCCAUUAUGGGGCUCUAUUGGCUCCACGUGUCAGCCCUUCAAAAAAUCCCACACCAUCUCCGUGCCCCUCACCAUCUCCACGGCUGCCUCCACCUCCACAGCACUUGCCGUCUCCAAUGCCAGUACCAGUGUCUCCAUCCCCAGGGCCCACUCCAUUCCCACACCACUCUCCAGCUCCAAAACCCUCACCACCACCUCCACGGCGCUCUCCAUCUCCACAGCCCACUCCAUCCUCACAUCCAGUACCCUCACUGCAGCCCACACCAUCUCUGCCUCAGGUUAUUACUGACUGGGAGAGCUUUCUUCCCAGUCAGUUCAAGAGAGUCCUCCAGCCAGCAGAUUGGGUGUGGAUUGCCAAGUGCCUGUAUGAGCCCACAGGGCAGCUGAGGCAGAAGAUCCAGGUGAACUGGUUUUAUCCACCGAUGCAGCCCAAGCCAUGUCCUCCUGAGCCUGGGUGGUACUUCCGACAGAGGAUGUUCUUGUGGGCACCAAUGAGGAUGUGGGGCAUUCCUCUUAAAUGCCCACAGUGUGGCCGGAAGAUGCACCAUUCAGGAAUUUACCCAAAGGUCAGGGAGGUGAUUGACAUGGAUAGCCGCUAUUACCUUGUGGGUGGGGACUAUCCACGCUGCAGUGCAUGCAAGUUGCCAGUAUGCCCAUGGAGCCAGGACAUCCUUUCACAACUGGAUGUGGCACACAGGACCAUGUUUCCAGCGGUGCUGACCACUCAGCUAGCCCUGGACAGGAAAUGUGUGACUUUCCUCAGGCCAAGGACCAGUGGAAACAGUUCCUCCUACUUCCAGUCAGCAGUAGAGGAAGCCCACAGUGAGGAGUGGGCACGACGCACCAUCCAGUACCUCUCUGAUUGUGAGCAUCAUUUGAGAAAGGUUACCCUGGUCCAAUCUGCAACGGCACCUGCCUUUUCUGCACCCGCACCCUUCAGGCCACUUCCACUCGCCCAGUGGUUUGAGACUGUCCACUCCAACUAUAUCCUCAGCCAUUUGGACGAGAUGAAGGGGGUGAUUACCUCCACCUAUGGCCGAAUCCUGAAGAUGGAUUCUACAAAGAAGGUACAAUACAUGAAGGUUUCAGCAUGAGGUUUAUUUUCAGCCAGAAAGAAUUUCAACAUGAUGACAAAUGUUGUGUUAUAUACAUUUGUGUUAUAUAUAUUGUAAUGUACCAUAACAAUUCAAAGAAAAUUUAUAAUUAAGCUUGUCAGAAUGUCUUUAUUUUUCCUUCUUUUUGUUUUUCAGAUCACCAAAAAGCUGGCUGGUGGCACUGGGGACACAGCUGCAUGGAUGACCAACAUUGGCAAUGAGCUCGGCCAGGUUCUGAACAGUGUUCUGACAACAGCUGAAGGCGCAGGACUGGAGGAGCUGUGCCAGGGCGUCGUCAAACGCUACCAGAAUGCUGGCGAGCCAGAGCCUGAGGUCAUCUAUGUUGACCGGGAUUGCUGCAGUCAGUCAGGUGAGAUUUUCAAAUUACUACUUUAUCAAAUAUGCACUGCAAUAUAUUUUAUAAAAGUUAAUAGUGGUGUAAAAAAGUUCCCCUUUCCCUAUUGGUGAUGGUAAUUAGUAUUAUUAUUACAGCCAGUGUAUUAAAAAUUGUAAUAAAUUAUAUUGACUGAAAAGUAUGUUUGAAAUU